AUAGCGUAUAUUAAAGUUGUUGCAGUUAAAAAGCUCGUAGUUGGAUUUCUGGCAGGAUGACUUUGCCCUCUGUAGAGUGCGCAAUGCUGUCCUACCAUCCUUCUGUUAACCCUUUCGACCUUAAAAAGUUGGCUGGGGGCUCAGAUAUUUUACCUUGAGAAAAUUAGAGUGUUUCAGGCAGGCUAGCGCCGGAAUACAUUAGCAUGGAAUAAUAGAAUAGGACUUUUGCCUCUUCUGUUGGUCUGAGGGGUGUAAGUAAUGAUUAAUAGGGAUAGUCGGGGGCAUCAGUAUUCAAUUGUCAGAGGUGAAAUUCUUGGAUUUAUUGAAGACUAACUACUG
Molecule: ribosomal RNA, 339 nt
Filed under: uncultured eukaryote
Lineage: Eukaryota
Description: bacterial SSU rRNA
Rfam family: Eukaryotic small subunit ribosomal RNA
Source: RNAcentral